This 274-nucleotide ribosomal RNA is filed under the name uncultured bacterium. Its description in RNAcentral is "partial 16S ribosomal RNA". It matches the Rfam family "Bacterial small subunit ribosomal RNA", at positions 523 to 796 of the family's 1533-position model. The record is from RNAcentral.
CUACGGAGGGUGCAAGCGUUAUUCGGAAUCACUGGGCGUAAAGGACGCGUAGGCGGGUUGGCAAGUCAGAUGUGAAAUCCUACAGCUUAACUGUAGAACUGCAUUUGAAACUGCUAACCUAGAGUAUGGGAGGGGGAGAUGGAAUUAGUGGUGUAGGGGUAAAAUCCGUAGAUAUCACUAGGAAUACCGAAAGCGAAGGCGAUCUCCUGGAACAUAACUGACGCUAAGGCGUGAAAGCGUGAGGAGCAAACAGGAUUAGAAACCCUAGUAGUCC